GAUGAACGCUGGCGGCGUGCCUAAUACAUGCAAGUCGAGCGAACAGACGAGGAGCUUGCUCCUCUGACGUUAGCGGCGGACGGGUGAGUAACACGUGGAUAACCUACCUAUAAGACUGGGAUAACUUCGGGAAACCGGAGCUAAUACCGGAUAAUAUAUUGAACCGCAUGGUUCAAUAGUGAAAGACGGUUUUGCUGUCACUUAUAGAUGGAUCCGCGCCGCAUUAGCUAGUUGGUAAGGUAACGGCUUACCAAGGCAACGAUGCGUAGCCGACCUGAGAGGGUGAUCGGCCACACUGGAACUGAGACACGGUCCAGACUCCUACGGGAGGCAGCAGUAGGGAAUCUUCCGCAAUGGGCGAAAGCCUGACGGAGCAACGCCGCGUGAGUGAUGAAGGUCUUCGGAUCGUAAAACUCUGUUAUUAGGGAAGAACAAAUGCGUAAGUAACUAUGCACGUCUUGACGGUACCUAAUCAGAAAGCCACGGCUAACUACGUG
RNAcentral lists this ribosomal RNA (497 nucleotides) under uncultured bacterium. RNAcentral describes it as "partial 16S ribosomal RNA". It matches the Rfam family "Bacterial small subunit ribosomal RNA", at positions 28 to 507 of the family's 1533-position model. The record is from RNAcentral.